GAUGAAGAACGUAGCGAAAUGCGAUAAGUAAUGUGAAUUGCAGAAUUCAGUGAAUCAUCGAAUCUUUGAACGCACAUUGCGCCCCUUGGUAUUCCGAGGGGCAUGCCUGUUCGAGCGUCAUAACCCCUCAAGCUCAGCUUGGUGUUGGGGCCUGCCGCACGGGCAGCCCUUAAAAUCAGUGGCGGUGCCAUCUGGCUCUAAGCGUAGUAAUUCUUCUCGCUAUAGAGUCCCGGUGGAUGCUUGCCAUUAACCCCCAAUUUUCUAUGGUUGACCUCGGAUCAGGUAGGGAUACCCGCUGAACUUAAGCAUAUCAAUAAGCGGAGGA
Molecule: unclassified non-coding RNA, 325 nt
Filed under: soil metagenome
Description: partial contains 5.8S ribosomal RNA, internal transcribed spacer 2, and large subunit ribosomal RNA
Rfam family: 5.8S ribosomal RNA (bases 1-120)
Source: RNAcentral